CAAAACACACUUCGACGUAGCAUAUCAUUGCUGUAAUUUUCUGGUACAAAACUCACACAAGGAAGGGCUUACAAUGGAGGAAGACACACACAAACUGCUGCUGUUUCUUCUUCUCUGUUACUUCCCCGGUUUCUGCUCACUUUCGACUGCUACCCACUGCCCUUCUCUCAAUAAUUUCAGCUCCAUGUAACCUACCACUUGGAAAAAAUAAUACACUUAACACACAUUCAACUCUAGCUAACAUUAAGCUAACUCUAGCCAACUAGCCUUACAGCACAGUAACAUUAACAGUUGGUCCUGUCGGAAAAAAAGAGAUGAUAUUUGUAUAGGUAUUUUGUCAAUCAAUUUCUUACAUAAACAAAAACAAUUUUUUGUGGUCUAUAAAUUGAUCCUAUUGUUUGUUUUAAUUUAACCUUUUAAUGUGCUCUAAGGAGAAAAUUCAGCGUUAACCAUUGAGGUAGUGGAUUGAGAGCAGACUCAUCACAGGUUUAGGCCAAGAGCUCUUUCACAAGCAGAAACUGUUCCCAAUCAU
This 532-nucleotide long non-coding RNA is filed under the name Populus trichocarpa (black cottonwood). Its description in RNAcentral is "long non-coding RNA (PTRI_LNC001118)". The record is from RNAcentral. Lineage: Eukaryota; Viridiplantae; Streptophyta; Magnoliopsida; Malpighiales; Salicaceae.